This 801-nucleotide long non-coding RNA is filed under the name Homo sapiens (human). RNAcentral's name for it is "HSALNT0373032". Lineage: Eukaryota; Metazoa; Chordata; Mammalia; Primates; Hominidae. The record is from RNAcentral.
AUUGAGGGCAGGAAAUUUGGAGCUACUGUCACAGUGCUUUCUACCACCUCCUCUGGCUUUUAGGGUGUCCAAGAUAAAAUAAGAAGGGACCCUGUUUUCUCAUAGUUGCAUUUUUCUAGUGGAGGCUCUACCUCUUAUCUGGUCUUUAAAAGAGAAGAAAAGACUAACCUCUUGGGAAGGUUGAUUUUGGCUUCUGCCCAAUAACCCAAAUCCAUGAACACUCUCCCACCUUCUGAAGUUGUAUCUCUAAUUUUUUCAUAGACAUUUUAAUAGGGUUUUCACUUCCCUACCAUUAGUUUAUAUUUAAUAUCAAGUUAAUGAACUACAUUUGUAGGAUCUUUAUCCCAAGUCUGUAUUCCUCAAUUUUUUACAGACUUUAUGCUUUCGGGUAAUCAUUUCAAGUUUCAUCAUUUUUCAAUAUAUCCCACAAGCAAUUUGUGACUUGGCUCUAUCAGCUUGAAGUAAUUAGAAAUUCACUUGCACUAUUGAGGACUUGCAUCUGUAAAAGGAAGAAAUAUUUUCUGGAAAAAUGGAUUUGCAAAAUGAAGGCACUUUGGCUUGUUCUGUCUUGAUAAAUCAGUUGUCUAGGCAGUGGGCAAGGAGGACCCAUUGGAUGGUUACAAAUUUAAGGAACUGACUCAGCGCAAGAAGACAGCUUCGACUCCCUAUGAUUUUAUCUCUGACCAAUCGGCACUCCUGGCUCACUGGCUUCCCCCACCCACCAAGUUAUCCUUAAAAAUUCUGCUCCCCCAGUGCUCAGGGACACUGAUUUAAGUAAUAAUAAAACCCCGGUCUCCCGCA